GGCCUCAUGGUCUAGUGGUAUGAUUCCUGCUUUGGGAAUAGCUCUCAAAUUUGCAGGAGGCCCCGCGUUCGAAUCGCGGUGGGGCCC
Molecule: non-coding RNA, 87 nt
Organism: Macroventuria anomochaeta
Lineage: Eukaryota; Fungi; Ascomycota; Dothideomycetes; Pleosporales; Didymellaceae
Source: the annotation of a RefSeq genome assembly